RNAcentral lists this ribosomal RNA (279 nucleotides) under uncultured Lachnospiraceae bacterium. Its description in RNAcentral is "partial 16S ribosomal RNA". It matches the Rfam family "Bacterial small subunit ribosomal RNA", at positions 67 to 339 of the family's 1533-position model. The record is from RNAcentral. Lineage: Bacteria; Bacillati; Bacillota; Clostridia; Lachnospirales; Lachnospiraceae.
UGAAUUGAUUCUUCGGAUGAUUUUCAGUUGACUGAGCGGCGGACGGGUGAGUAACGCGUGGGUGACCUGCCCCAUACCGGGGGAUAACAGCUGGAAACGGCUGCUAAUACCGCAUAAGACCACAGAGCCGCAUGGCUCAGAGGGAAAAACUCCGGUGGUAUGAGAUGGACCCGCGUCUGAUUAGGUAGUUGGUGGGGUAACGGCCCACCAAGGCGACGAUGCGUAGCCGGCCUGAGAGGGCGGACGGCCACAUUGGGACUGAGACACGGCCCAGACUCC